Non-coding RNA from Anas platyrhynchos (mallard), 7211 nucleotides. The record is from RefSeq and is a predicted model, not a curated record. Lineage: Eukaryota; Metazoa; Chordata; Aves; Anseriformes; Anatidae.
CACAAUCUCUUUCAGGCAACACCGCUGGAUGCCGGUGGGAGUUUUGCUGCGGAGAGGGGCUACAGGGAGCCGUGGAUGGAUGUGGCCCAGCUCUGGGGAUCCAGCAGGGCCCGUGCAGGAUCAUGCCUGCCUCAGUCUCUCAGAAGGAUCUUCUGACCUGGGAAUCCCCACCACCAGUCCAGUGACGUGUCCAGCUGGUGCUCCUGAAAGAGCAAGAAUGACAGGCACAGUACAGAAGAAAUCCAAGCCUCUGUCAUUAAUAUCUUACAAAAGCUCCAGUCCUGCAGAUGCAAUUGGAAAUUCUUCAGCUUUAUUCAGUUUUUACAGCCUUCAUGUGCUGAGGGAUAACUUCUAUUAAUGCUUCUCAACCUCUGGUGCCCUAUGACCAGCAAAUGAGAUGAUGAAAUGUGUUGCAACAAGACUUGACGAUCAUUUAAAAACUGACAUUUCUUACAAUUUAUUGCAAACAGAAGUGUUACAUCAUACUUACAAUGCUAAAUUAAAAGGUUUUAUGGAAGGAAGAAAUACCUAUUUGGGUCUAGAGUAUAAUAAUGCCUAUCUAGUUUCAGUAUCAUUUUCUUUGCACUCAUUAAUUUUAGCAGGAUAUUUAUAAUCAUAAAUAAACAUUUGAUGUGGAAAUGCCUUUUCCUCAACAUUUCCAGACACAAUAUGUGUUUAGCCAGACAAAGGGUUUUUAUUUUCAAGGAAUGGUAUUUCAGAGCUGGAAAUGCCAGCUCCCUGGUGCUGAGAUGUAGUUUCUGGAAGUCUCUUCCAGAUGUGAAGCUUUAAGGAAUUAAGUUAUAUUGGGAAAAUGGAUUAUCCCUAGUGGAGAGCAUUUUAUCACCUUGUUAGGUUUAGGAAGCCCAAGUGAUACAGAAGAGUGGGGAAAAGAGAUGCUAGUACAAAAUGCUUCAAAUCACAGAACAACUGCCACUGAUAACAUCCUGAUACCACUGUAAAGCCUUUCUGAGAGCUAUUGCAUGCUUAAUAUGUUAUCAUUCAAUCAAGUGUAUGGAGAAGAACAAAAAGACACAGCAAGUCUGGACUGUCCCUGUGCAGCACACUGGAGUUGCCAAACAAAUGGAAAUGUUUGGAUGGAAGAGUGCCUCUGUAUAGCCAGCCAGCUUGCUGACAAAGGAAUGCCACCCGAUCUCUUGGACGUGCAUUUUUUAUGCUAUUUCUGUUGCUGUUUUUCUCUUGAUUUCUGCUUGCACUGCCUGUCUCAUUCUGCUUUGCUUCUGUGUGUGUGUGAGAGAGAGAGUGUGUGUUUUGUACAUAUCAUCAGAUUCGAGCUUGCCCUCUGAGGAUAUCAGUGCCCUAAUUAGCACAUCAGUAUUAUGCAAAAGGUAGCAGCACUUCUGGUUCCCCUCAGAUGCAGAGGGCUUGCUUAUCCUACACAGCCUUGUCUCAGAACAAGGGAAGUUUGUUUCUGGUGCACCUCUUUGGUGUCCUCUCCCUGUGAAUGGGACACCAAUUCCUCCCGGGAAUCCCUCUUGAGUUUUAAAUAAAGUGGCAGCCUGUUUUUUUAUAACCCUAUUUACAUCUGUGGCAUCACUUGCUUGCUGCUGGAGUCAAGGGCUACAGGUAACACAGGAACACAGACUCCGGUGCACUAAGAUUUUCAAAAUAUACUGCUUGUCCAUCACAUUUACCUGUGCACAAGGGUGAGCUGGGGAUGUCUACACUGGAGUCCCAGAUUUAAAGCAUGUUUAAAGCUUGUUAGGGUUGUACAGCACAGCACUCACAAAUCAAGAAAUGUCAAAGCUACGGCUCAUUUAUAAAUUCAUCCCUCUUUAAAAUACGAAUAACAGUGUAGGCAGCUUUUAAUUACAUAGCCAUGUUCUGUUUUCCCUGGAUUUAUGCAUGAGUGAGAGAGUACCUUGGUGUGCACAUAUAUAGAGCUAUGUAGUCUGGGAGAGCAUAUAUUAAGCCCCUUUUUCUUACCCAUAAAUAGAGAUGAUUCCAAACCAAAGCCCUAGCUUCAAGCUAGCUACGGACCUUAGGGAGUUCAAAAUCAGAAUCUGGAUUUGGAUCUGAAUUUAGCAGCUUAGGCCCAUCUGCAAUAAAUACAUACAGGAUGAAAUGUAGAUAACUGAGAUAUAAGGCUAUAUAGACUUCAAAGUGCCUCUGAUAAAAUCAUGAUAACCACAAGAAAGAAGUGGUAUGUGAUCUCAGAUGAGAUAUCCCCAAGAUGUCUAUACAGCUUAAUUUUCCCACAUUGUGUCCUUUUAUCUUCAAUGGAUAAAAGGUGAAUUAUUAUUAUUAUAGGCAGAGGAGUAGUAACGCCUGUUAUUCAGGUUGUCUAACACUUUCCAUUGUUCCUCCUCUCGUCAUUCGCUUACAACUUUUGCAGACUUGAACCCUUAGAGACAAAGUUUCCCAUACUUGGUGCUUGCCUCAGGUCACAUUUGAUCAAGAAUAGGUAUUCCACCUUCAAGACUGUAGCAAUAGUGCUGGCAAUAAAUCAUGUCAACAUUUGCUUCUGCAUUUGUAAACUGUCAUUUUAAGGUAGCUGGAGAGCGGACAGGAGAGCAAGCAAACAGACAGCUUUAAAAGCCUGCACUGUCAUACUCACCUUAUCAACUGAGCGAUCAUGUUAAAUCUCAAAUGACAGAAAGUCAGACAGCAGGUGGGUGUGCGAUGGAGAAGAAAAUGGCAUUUCUCACAUGAUGGUACCUGUGCUUUCCUUCUCACAGGAGCAGCCCCUGCCUGAAUACAGCAAUCCACCUGCUUUAAUAUCUGCAGGACUCAGUUUUCACAUAGCAAUGGAAAAAAUAAAAGAGGCCUAAGUAUGUGAAAUCCGCGCACCCCAAGAGCUGUCCCACAUUCCCCACCCAAUCAGCAGAUAGGAGCUCUGCUCAGCGAACCUGCCAUGGUAGCUGAUAAUUAUUGUUGUAUUAAUUGGUGCUGUCCAGACUAGACAGAAUGUAAAAGAUCCCACUGUGUCCAAUAAUUAAUGUUUUUCCCUCACUGCAAUGUCAUUAAUAAGGGGUUCCUCCAAGAAACGAGUAAUUGGAUGGUUCAGCUUCAUUAGGGUAUUUUUAGAUAAGGUUUGGUCUAGAGACAUAUAGGAAAGCUUAUUAUGUUUAUUUAGACUGCAUUAUCUAUUGCUAAUGUGUUAUACUGAUUUUGUAUCUUCCACAUUCUCUGGGAUUGUAAUGAUAAAAGAAAUGCACAAAUUACGACUUAAAUGAACAGAAAUACCGCCUUUAAUUCUGUUACAUUACAGUGAUGAAAAAAAUGUCAUCUCAAAAUAAAUAUCACCAAUAUCCUAUAAAUCUCCCCUUUUCUCAGAGACACACAAAGCUAUUGUCACAGGAAGACAAAAGUCAGAUUUUACUAAUUAGAGAUGAGUGUAGCGGAGCGUUCUUGUUUUGGCAAUUAUCUGAGCAGCUUUUGAAAAUGGAAUGUGUAAAUCUGGUUUUGGAAAUAACUUUGAAAAGAAGACUAAGGGGCUUUUUCAGGGGUAUCGUUUACACGGUCAUGUAUGACUUUAUUAUUCUGCAAAGAUGCCUUGGGAAUCUGACUCACAUGAAAACUUGAUAUGCAAGUGAGCUAUAGACCAGGAUGUGGCGGAUUUACACAGGAAACAUAUAUGGCUAGUCAAAACAGCUCUGUUUUACCACAAAGGAGCUUUGCACAUGCUUUGCGAGGAUUUUAUGUGGGAGCUUAUUCUUGAACACAGCACAUAGCCAGUCUUUCACAACCCAAAGUUACUCUAGUUAAAUUUUUAGGGCAAUAUAGCCAAACUGGUCCCAUUCACAGCUGCAUCCUCUUAAUCUCAUCACAAGACACAGAUCUCCCACUAGGAAAUGAUAAUCCACAGUUUAGUGUCUGUAUUAUACUUAUUUCAAACACAAGAGACCACAUUCAUCCCCAAGUAAUUCUCUAAAUGUGAGAGAUCUUGUUACAACACGGAUGCACUUGGCCCAUGGGGUGUCAGAUAGUGAAAUGGACUCAUCACACCAUGCUAAAUAAAAGUGAAGAAAAACAUCACCAAGGAAAAUACUGGGAGAGCUAGGUAAUUUUAGUUGAUCCUUAUUAAACUAUUGUGUCAGUCAAUGUUUUCAAUAGGUUCUUGCUGGAGAAGGGACACUGAGCCAGAAUCUCAUCUCAAGUAUUUACAAAUCUAGAGAAAAGAAUAUGCCUCCUCCUUCCUCUUCCCAAAUACUUCUCUGCCACAAAUCCUGCAUAUUGACAGCUCUAUGCAAACUGCUAGCAUUACUACUAUUUUAAAAACAAGAAUUCCUGUGAAAAAUAUGCAGGACACGUCCAGACAAAUGUCUAGAUGUGCCACACUAAGUUCAUCUCAAGUAAAGUUUAAUAUGGCUCCAGAAAAAUCACAUUGUAAAAUAUUUUUUUUGUCACAUUUGUGACAAGUGACAUAUCUCUUUAGAAUAAAUGAUCUUAAAUAGAUACACAGAAUUUUGUGUCCAUUUUUUUUCCUAUCACAAUGGCACAGGACUCAUGUCUAUUCUAGGAUAGCACAGAGUAAAUCACACAUAAUUCUGCUGAAGUCAGGGGUGUUACACCAGCGUAAGUCAUACUACAAUAACAUCCUCGGUGUCCCAGGUUCCUCAAUAAGAUUCACAAAAGUAAAUUCCAUUAGCAUGUGUAGAAAUGUGUCUUUCUCAUAAUGAUAUGACUAUAAACUUUUGUACUUGAGAAUAGUAGUAGAGAGACCCCUCAAAAGCCAGAUAUUGAUAGCUUGCUUUAUGUUUAAAGAUGUCAACAGAAUACAAUGGUUCUCAGCAUCCAUAUUAGUUAUCUUUAGUAAGAGAGAAGAAGAUUUAAAGUAAGGGAAUGAGGUUUGCAAUGUAACAAGAUAAAGUCAUCUCCAGCAGCCUAGAGGAUUUCUUUAAUCUUAUUUUUAGAGGAGAGCUGAGGAGCUUUUGCAAAACCGGCUUGUUUGGAUUCAGUUUCUAUUUUAUCUCAUCCACGAAAGUUUAGAGUUGAAGAGGGAAACAGAUAAAAGUUUUGAGCAAACUGAGAUGGUUUUACAUUGGUCUCAUCAACCUUUCUAAUCUAGGUUUGAUUUUGCAAAACCUGUCUUAAUCCAGAUCUCUCAUUAUCAGCCUACCAAAACACACACAAAAAUAGAAGUUUCAAAUUAAGAAGCAUUUUUAAAAGUCGUAUUUUCUUGCUUGCAUUUAGAUAAUUGCCACUUUUUUUUUUCCUUUCUUUUUUUCUUUCCAUUGACCAUACUGUAUGUCCACAACAAGGGUUUGAUAACUGUAAGUAGAAAUAUUUCAUCUAAAUUCUUUCAUGAAGACAUUUCUCCUAAAAUUAUCUUUGCCCAAGGAAAAUUUCAUCAUUAGACAAGACCCUGUUUUUCUUUACAGGAUUAUUAUUAUUUUUUUAAUCUUAAAAUAUUAUCCAGUACUAUACCAAUCUGAAUGCUCUGAAUAUAAACAAGAAAAGACAUUUUCAGGAUUCAGGAUUGUGCCUGUAUUUUGCUUUUCAGUCUCAUGAUCUUGAUAGAUACAUUCAAUCCACAGAAAUAAUAUAAACGACAACCAGGAUAUGUUCUUUUGACUCCGUGUCAUGUAUGUGUCCACCAACAUACUAAAAGGUUUAUCACUGAAAAUAUCUUCUUGCAUGAAGUAAUUAGUUAUCUGCUCUGAAAUAUGCAAUAGUCCUAUCAGCAGAACAACAAAAAAGAUCACUUGAUAUAUAUAUAUUUUUUUUUUCUCUGAAUUGCCAAUUCCUGGUUGCCAGUGUUGUGGUUCCUCACAGUCAGCCUGAUCAAAUCUGCAAUACAGAAAAUUAUUUCAUCCUCCUGGAGCUAGUAGAGAACUCUAAACCUCUACAUUUCCCACCAGGCAUCACAACUGCCACAUGAAACACAAAAGAUCAUCCAUUUUACUGCAGUCAUUCACCAUGGCCUUUGAGCUGGAUCAAAGUUUAGAUUAAAUAAAUAAAUAAAUAACCAACUAACUAGUCAUUUCCCUUGGGUGUCCCUUCCUUCUCUUCAGGUAAAAAGCAGAUAAAAGACCUAUUUUUCUGGAGUGUUUUGCACUAUUUGAUUCAUUCAAUACUGACAAAUAUUUUUGUCCUGUCUCCAAAAAGCUUCUGGGGAUAAACAUUAAUGUCCUGAAGGACCUCAGGCCUUUCCCUAAAGACUGAGCAUUCUUAUCAUUUGUCCCUACAUCUCUAAAGUUCCUGCAGGCAAAUAUUUACAAGCUCUGUCCUUUGCCUCAUAUUGCUUAACAAGAAGGCGGCUGGAAGAACAAGAAAGACAAAGUGGUUAGAAAUGCCAGGAGUGAGAAGAUUAUACUUACUUGUACAUCUCCUUGCUAUCAGAUACAACGUCUUACACAUUUGUCAACGUCCAGCUGCAACAAACAUGGAUUCACAUCUACUGGGACCCACAGGCUGACAGCGAGAAGGGAAGUGCUCGAUAAGACUUGUUCCCAUAAUGGUCAAGGGACUUUGCCUUUGAACUGCAAAGUCAGUCUCAGCUGACUUUCAGUGUCCUUACAUAGACACACACUUGGCUUGUAGAGCCAAACAUAGCAAUGACAACUAAAAUCAACCAUGUCCGACUGCACCAGGCCCAAAGGGCGUGAUCCACUCUAGUAGACUCGGAUCUAGCCAUGGUGAUUCAGAAGCUGAUGAGCUCCAGGCAAGAUUACUAUAAUUUGUAAAAAGAAAUAAAGCCACAAAUGUCAUUACGAACCAUAAUUCAACAAUGUUUACUUAACAGGACAGGUCAGCUCUCAACACCAGAUGCACAGAGCAAUCUAGUUGAAGGUUCUGUCUUGCUAUUCAAAAUUACCUCUGAUUCUUCAGGAAAACAUUAGCUUCCAUGAUAACUGACUCACCAGAAAGUAGCAAUAAAGAAUAAUCUGAAAACAAAUAAACUAAUUAAGUGACUUCUCAUGCAAAGAUCUGGUUUCUGCUCAUUUCCCGACAUACCUGGGAUCCUCUCCAGCACUGCCUGCGGGGUCUGGGUACCUGGACUGGCAGUAAUUCUGCAGCAUCACUCACCAAGUGCUCUCAGCACAGAAAGCUUGUGUAAACAGGUUGUGCUUUUCUCUCUGCUUUGUUGAGCUGCCGUGUUACUGUGAGGAAAAGGUAUUUUGAUCAUCAGCAGAUUGUGAUUGUCCUGCUUUUUUUAUUGUUUGUUUGUUGCAGCUUAAACUGAAACUGGCUGAGCCAACCUUAUAGCUAUCAUGCAACCAGACUGGCUGCUUUGAGAAUUUGCUCAA